This 220-nucleotide long non-coding RNA is filed under the name Elaeis guineensis (African oil palm). RNAcentral's name for it is "long non-coding RNA (EGUI_LNC066074)". The record is from RNAcentral. Lineage: Eukaryota; Viridiplantae; Streptophyta; Magnoliopsida; Arecales; Arecaceae.
UGGCGUUUGACGUGCAUGUGAAGUAGAGGGUCUGCACAUCCAGGCCUCCAUGAAGGUUUAUAUCAGAUUAUUAGAGAUUUGAUCUCUAGUUUUACUACUAAUCAGGUAAGAAUUUGAUCCUUAAUCAUGUAGAUAAAUAAAAAAAAUUUUAGAUGCAACCUAGGCCUUUCGAGAAAAAAUAGUUUUUUUUCUUUAGUAUAUAAGAUGCUUCGCUCAAAUC